CCGGCCCUCCGCGAGCACCCGCGGGGGAUCGGGUUCCGGACCCGGUCCGAUCCCGUUCCCACCGAGGGGCUGUCCGCGAUCAUGGAGGUGUCCUCGGACGGCGUCGAAUCCUUCUCCAGUCCGCGACGCUACGGCUUGGAUGGUCCACCCGACCCGUCUUGAAACACGGACCAAGGAGUCUAACAUGCGCGCGAGUCGUUGGGUCGGACACGCUCCGCUAAACCCAUAGGCGCAAUGAAAGUGAAGGCCGCCGUCGGGCGGCCGAGGGAGGACGGGGCCGCUCGCGCGUUCCGACGCGCGACGGUCUCCGCACCCCCGGGGCGUCUGAUCCCUCAUCGCGAGGGGAGGCGCACCCAGAGCGCACACGUUGGGACCCGAAAGAUGGUGAACUAUGCCUGGCCAGGACGAAGUCAGGGGAAACCCUGAUGGAGGUCCGUAGCGAUUCUGACGUGCAAAUCGAUCGUCGGAGCUGGGUAUAGGGGCGAAAGACUAAUCGAACCAUCUAGUAGCUGGUUCCCUCCGAAGUUUCCCUCAGGAUAGCUCGCGCUCGGAGGAGAGUCUCAUCCGGUAAAGCGAAUGAUUAGAGGCCUUGGGGCCGAAACGGCUUCAACCUAUUCUCAAACUUUAAAUGGGUGAGAACUCCGGCUUGCUCGACUUGUCGAAGCCGGAGACGGGGCUCCGGCCCCCGGGAUCGGAGUGCGUAGUGGGCCACUUUUGGUAAGCAGAACUGGCGCUGUGGGAUGAACCAAACGACGGGUUAAGGCGCCCGAAUCGACGCUCAUGGGAAACCAUGAAAGGUGUUGGUUGCUUAAGACAGCAGGACGGUGGCCAUGGAAGUCGGAAUCCGCUAAGGAGUGUGUAACAACUCACCUGCCGAAGCAACUAGCCCUGAAAAUGGAUGGCGCUGAAGCGUCGUGCCUAUACCCGGCCGUCGCGGCAGGGCGGACCCGCGAGGGUGCCGUUCGAUGCGGCGACGAGUAGGAGGGUCGCGGCGGCGCGCGCAGAAGGGUCUGGGCUCGAGCCUGCCUGGAGCCGCCGCCGGUGCAGAUCUUGGUGGUAGUAGCAAAUACUCCAGCGAGGCCCUGGAGGACUGAUGUGGAGAAGGGUUUCGUGUGAACAGCCGUUGCACACGAGUCAGUCGAUCCUAAGCCCUAGGAGAAAUCCGACGCCAACGGCGACGGGAAAAAUGAAAGAGAAAGAAACCCGUUGAUCGGGCGAAAGGGAAUCCGGUUCCUAUUCCGGAACCCGGCAGCGGAACCGCUGUUUGUCGGGCCCUCACAAGGGGUUCGUCAGGGUAACCUAAAAGGGCCCGGAGACGCCGUCGGGAGCCCCGGAAAGAGUUUUCUUUUCUGCAUGAGCGUUCGAGUUCCCUGGAAUCCU
RNAcentral lists this ribosomal RNA (1380 nucleotides) under Mecistogaster lucretia. RNAcentral describes it as "partial 28S ribosomal RNA". It matches the Rfam family "Eukaryotic large subunit ribosomal RNA", at positions 605 to 1729 of the family's 3401-position model. The record is from RNAcentral. Lineage: Eukaryota; Metazoa; Arthropoda; Insecta; Odonata; Coenagrionidae.